RNAcentral lists this unclassified non-coding RNA (336 nucleotides) under plant metagenome. Its description in RNAcentral is "partial contains small subunit ribosomal RNA, internal transcribed spacer 1, and 5.8S ribosomal RNA". The record is from RNAcentral.
UUUCCGUAGGUGAACCUGCGGAAGGAUCAUUAUUGAAUAUGCUUGAUAGGUUGUAGCUGGCUCUUCGGAGUAUGUGCACGCUUAUCUUGACUUAAUUCAUCCACCUGUGCACCUUUUGUAGUCUUGGGGGUUGAGAUCGGUCGACUAUCGGAUGGCCGAGGUCAUUCCGGAUGUGAGGAAUGCUGAGUGCGAAAGCAUACAGCUCUUCUCAAAUGACUUGUCUUCCUCGAGUACUAUGUAUUCAUAUACCACAUAGUAUGUUGUAGAAUGUGAUCAAUGGGUCUAUGUACCUAUAAUAAUUAUAUACAACUUUCAGCAACGGAUCUCUUGGCUCUC